The sequence is a ribosomal RNA, 389 nucleotides long. The stretch from base 44 to 389 matches the Rfam family "Bacterial small subunit ribosomal RNA", at positions 875 to 1384 of the family's 1533-position model.
UUAGCCCUAAACAUAAAUAAUUCUACAACAAAACAAUUCGCCAGAGAACUACUAGCAAUAGCUUAAAACUCAAAGGACUUGGCGGUGCUUUAUAUCCCUCUAGAGGAGCCUGUUCUAUAAUCGAUAAACCCCGAUAAACCUCACCACCUUUCGCUAAUUCAGUCUAUAUACCGCCAUCUUCAGCAAACCCUUAAAAGGCAGAACAGUAAGCACAAUCAUUUUACAUAAAAAAGUUAGGUCAAGGUGUAACUUAUGAGGUGGGAAGAAAUGGGCUACAUUUUCUAUCCUAAGAACACUUCACGAAUGUUUUUAUGAAAUUAAAAACUGAAGGAGGAUUUAGUAGUAAAUUAAGAAUAGAGAGCUUAAUUGAAUAGGGCCAUGAAGCACGC